GCCGCAUUCUAUGAUUAUGAAAUAUGGCAAAUGGACGUCAAAACGGCAUUCCUUAAUGGUUUCCUUAAGGAAGAAUUGUAUAUGAUGCAGCCGGAAGGUUUUGUCGAUCCUAAGAAUGCUGACAAAGUGUGCAAGCUCCAACGCUCGAUUUAUGGGCUGGUGCAAGCAUCUCGGAGUUGGAACAUUCGCUUUGAUGAGAUGAUCAAAGCGUUUGGGUUUACGCAGACUUAUGGAGAAGCCUGCGUUUACAAGAAAGUGAGUGGAAGCUCUGUAGCAUUUCUCAUAUUAUAUGUAGAUGACAUACUUUUGAUG
Molecule: ribosomal RNA, 312 nt
Filed under: Triticum aestivum (bread wheat)
Lineage: Eukaryota; Viridiplantae; Streptophyta; Magnoliopsida; Poales; Poaceae
Description: partial small subunit ribosomal RNA
Source: RNAcentral